This 64-nucleotide transfer RNA is filed under the name Dericorys annulata. RNAcentral describes it as "tRNA-Pro". Lineage: Eukaryota; Metazoa; Arthropoda; Insecta; Orthoptera; Dericorythidae. The record is from RNAcentral.
CAGGUGUUAGUUUAUAAAAAUAUCGGUUUUGGGGACCGAAGAUAGAAGAGUUUUCUACUCCUGA